UUAAUAUUCCUUAGCUUUUUGUACUCUAAAUCAAGUAGUAAAGAAUGUGAUCAUCCUUGUGAUCUUACUUAUAAGUAAAAUGAAUUGUAGUUUUGAACCAAGAAGCUUUCUCCUCAGGAAACAGCACUGAAGAACAACAAGCUUCAAUGAGAACGUAUAAGUACCUUCAAAUAAUCCAAAAGAAAGAAGAAAUCAGAAUAACUUUAGAAUAGCUCUACAUAUGUGUAGAAGUGGUUGCAAAAAUAUUUCUCAGCACUGCCCAUCCCCUGGCUCCUCAAAGAAGAAGUCCUUCCUUUAUUCUCAAAACCCCAUUCAAGAUAUAAAUAGCUAUAACAGGAGACACAGAGGAAGAAGG
Melospiza melodia melodia is the source of this 355-nucleotide long non-coding RNA. RefSeq lists it as uncharacterized. The transcript has 3 exons. NCBI's taxonomy places the organism in Eukaryota, Metazoa, Chordata, Aves, Passeriformes, Passerellidae. The record is from RefSeq and is a predicted model, not a curated record.